GUGGAUAUAGUUCAGUUGGUAGAGUGCUUGCCUAGAAUGCACAAGGUCCUGGGUUCAAUUCCCAGUACCAUG
Molecule: transfer RNA, 72 nt
Filed under: Marmota monax (woodchuck)
Lineage: Eukaryota; Metazoa; Chordata; Mammalia; Rodentia; Sciuridae
Also listed under: 1 other name
Rfam family: tRNA
About the family: Transfer RNA (tRNA) molecules are approximately 80 nucleotides in length. Their secondary structure includes four short double-helical elements and three loops (D, anti-codon, and T loops). Further hydrogen bonds mediate the characteristic L-shaped molecular structure. tRNAs have two regions of fundamental functional importance: the anti-codon, which is responsible for specific mRNA codon recognition, and the 3' end, to which the tRNAs corresponding amino acid is attached (by aminoacyl-tRNA synthetases). tRNAs cope with the degeneracy of the genetic code in two manners: having more than one tRNA (with a specific anti-codon) for a particular amino acid; and 'wobble' base-pairing, i.e. permitting non-standard base-pairing at the 3rd anti-codon position.
Source: Rfam by way of RNAcentral